GGCUCUCUCUGAGGUGGUGUUCUCUUUUUAUCUUGAACCCAGCCGUCAUAGCUAUUUAUGAAAUAUUUGCUGACUCAUUGUUUAGGGAAAACUGCCAAGAGAAGAAGCUAAGUAGAGCAAAUGCAGACGUGCCUGCUGCGGACAAGGACAGGUUUCCACCAGCGGGCGCCCUCCCGGCUGAGGGGCGGCGCAGUCUCCCUUCUGACCUCCGGAGGGCAGGGCGCUGUGUCAGAGGCUCCCAGGCCUGUGCAUGGGGGCAGCAAGGGAUCAUCAGAAGCUACCAUGACACUUGCUCCCUCAAGAGCAGCUCCAGUUGAUAGAGCUGGGGACAGGGAUGGACCUUCAGGACAGUCUGACCCUGGUCAGCUACGGUCUCUCACAUAGGAAGAUGGCACUGGGAUUCAAGGAUUCUGACUAUAUUUGAGACUCAUCUGAUGCACAGAACAGAGAGGACAGACUUGGCCAGAAUUGCCAGCAAAGUUGAUUCUUGUGAUCACUCAGCCCUGUUCCAGCACAGUCCUUCAGGAAGUCUGGCUGCAGCCCUGCCAGGGGCUCCAGGGAAGCUACACACAUCCUUAUAAUAACACUUUCCUCCAGUUUGGUUUAAAGCAGUUUUAGUGGAUUUGUUACUUGUGGCCAAAGAGGUCUGGUGCGUGCACAGACAACAGGGCAGCACAAGCACACAAAAAUGAACAUGUAAAAAAAAGAAAAUGUAUUCACUCCCCAUGCAUGUGCAUGCACACACACACACACACACACACACACACACACACACACACACACACAUAUCCGGUGUUUGAACCAGGCUCUUUGUAACUCCAUGUGGUCCCAAUGGAAGCUUCUUUGGAAUCUGCAUUUUCCGGAGUCCCCUUGAGAAACCUCAGUUUUCAAUUCAAUUGGGAACAGCAGUGGUUCCCUAAUGUGCCUUCAUGGGCUUCAUCAGAAUCACCUGGAGGAACUACAGACGCGCGUAGAUCGCCAGCGGCCACCUUCAGAGGCAGAAACAGUCUUUCAAGGAGAUCUUGACAUCUGCGCUUUAAACCCUUUUUUUCAUGAGCUUUUGCUGUGCAGUGAGUCUACUGGGAUCCGACUGUUGGGUACAAGGUUUCUUCUCUCUUUCUUUCUUUUUUGUCAAUAUUGGGGCUUCAACCUGGGGCAUCCCAUAUGCUAGGCAAGAGCUCUAUUACUGAGCUACACUCCCAGCCUUUUUUAUUUUGAGACAGUAACCUACCCAGGAUGGCUUUGAACUUGUAAUCUUCCUGCCUCAGCCUCCGGAGUAGCAGGGAUUGGACAUAUGUGCCACCAUUGCCAGGAAGUUAACGUUUUAAAAGUUAAAUUAUUUCUUUUUUUUUUUUUUCCCACAUGGAGGUGGUGUCCUUAUCAACCUAUCAGUUCUGGGGGAUGGAUUUUGAAGGGACUUUGGCUAGUAGAUGAAUAAGAGUUUAGCCUGUGGACACAGAAUACAGUGAAGCUUGUCAGUCAGUCAGUCAGUAGUCAGUCAGCUUGUUAGAGCAUUUAGAACAUACAUUUAGUCCAAAGGGAGCUUUCCAGGUUGACUGCUUGAACUGGUGGCAUGAACCCGAUCAUUUGCUUUGCCUUCUGAGCUCUGUAGACACAAUUAAAAGAAGAAGAAAAUUGUGCAGUGCCUGCCUGGCAAGCAUGAGGUCCUGAGUUCGAUUCCUGAUACUCCCCCAAAAAAGUAAAAAAAAAAAAAAAAAAAAAAAAUGUGUAAAGCAGCAAAAGUACCUUUUACUUUAGAAACAAAUAUCAUUUCUGACCCAACAAUAGCUGCAUCCCUGUGAAUGAGGGGUCUGCAUAUUUUCCUGUUUUAAUGGUUCUAGUAUAAAUAGCCCAAACCCAGGCCUGAUUGUCAGUAGGCCCCGAGCAGCGGAACUGGAGUGCUGGAAAUGACUCCCUGAGCCCUGAGAACCUGGACCAGGCUCAGUGCCAGGAUUGGGCUUGUAUUAAACAGCAGCAGUGGGGUCAGGAGUGGAGGGAGAGGGGAAUUACAGUGAUCUCCAAGACCACAGCUAAUGCCAGAAGCAACAGCAAGAGCCCCUGCAGAGGCUGGAGGAGACAACAGGAACCACCACGAAUUGAAGCUGUCUUUGCACGGGUACCAGGCUGAGCGCAUAAUUAUUCAUUUGAGUACUUACAAAAGGUUGAUGUGAUAGGCGUAUUCUAAUAUAUCGAAGGUUCAUUGAGGUGGAAGGACUUCUUUUGAGGUCACACGACUUGUAAAAAAGAAAUACAAGAUCAAAUGAAGGCCAGUUUGACUCCGAACUAUCACAACACACAGAGAAGCCCAGGUGACAAACACCGUUUUGUGUGCCAGCGAGUAGGGUUUGGGCCUGGGAACCCUCUAGGGCAGUUCUUCAGGUGCACUGCUGGUCCCUGCUAAGACAUCCCUCCCACUUCCCUGGACCCACCGACCCACAGGUAAGGCAGAGGGCUGCAGGGCGAGGCAGCUGUUUUCUAGCACAAGGAAACUCCGUUUCUGAGGGAUUUUUUAUAUUCUGAGACUGCAGCUGUGACUCACCUUUUUAGGGUACCAAAAGAUUCAACAUAUAUUAAUCAACUACUGAUUAUAUAUUUAAUGAUUCAGGGAGUGGGGCUAAGGAGAAUUUCUUGGGCCUGAAAACAAGCAGAAUUGGUACUGGUAUAUAAAAAAAAAUUUAGGGUUCAGCCAUAUGAUGGAUUAUGAAGCAGUCGUUAAAAAUCAUUUUUCAAAGAAUAAGAUUAUGGAGAAAGCGUAUAAUAAAAAAUAAGGACAAGCAUGUUAUAAAACUGCAAUUCUACGGACACUAUAGCCUAAUAAUUACAGGAAUUAGACUGAAUGGAUUUAUUUUUAUAACUAUAUAUAGAAAUAAAAGACCGGAGGAAUAGCACCAAAAUAGUGACUAUGAUAACUUCGUGGAGGAGUGAGGUUAGUGUAAUUUUCGUUUUCUUCGUGGAUUUAGGGCUUUCCUCCCCUAGUUU
This is a long non-coding RNA of Chinchilla lanigera (long-tailed chinchilla), 2979 nucleotides long. The record is from Ensembl. NCBI's taxonomy places the organism in Eukaryota, Metazoa, Chordata, Mammalia, Rodentia, Chinchillidae.